This 707-nucleotide long non-coding RNA is filed under the name Dasypus novemcinctus (nine-banded armadillo). RNAcentral describes it as "lncRNA (ENSDNOG00000051159.1)". The record is from RNAcentral. Lineage: Eukaryota; Metazoa; Chordata; Mammalia; Cingulata; Dasypodidae.
CCCGCUGGGCGCGGCGCUCGGGCCCCUCGAAGGGGCUGCCGGUGCUCAAGCUCGGGGCCAGCGGGGAGCUCGCCUCUUUCUCGCACUGUUUUGGUCUUCCUGAUUUCUCUCGUUCUCCUUCCUCCCAGAGGAGCCUCUGUUAGUGUCCUCCCUUGGAAUUGCCCCCGGGGAGGGGACUGGGCGAGAGGCGGCGACCCCAGCCCCACCGUGCCUUCCUCCGCAGCGGAGCCAGUGGCUUGCGCGGGCCUCAGGGAAGAGCAGUGUCCCUUCACCUUUACCCUUUACCCUUCUCCCUUUUGUUUCUCCCUGUUUUUCCGGAAGGCUGAAGCCCCCCUUCGGGACCCCAUGGACGGCUUCAUUAAAACCAAGCACACCCUGCAACAAGCAUUGGAAGGGCCUGGGAAAAGCCACACUGGGAAGUUCUGUCUUCCAGCCCCACCUCCUUGUUCUCAGAUUACAGGAAUGAAGAGCUGGUGGGACCUCAGCGUUCACCUGGCUCGUCUCCCGGGCAGAUCCGCACAGCGCUUCAGCGGCCUUGCUCAUCCCUCAGCCUGGGCUUCCUGGAAUGUGUCCUUUUAUCUUGUCCCCAUCAAGACCUGAGUUGCCACUAAAGCUACCAUCAGGGUGCCCACAGGAGCAGGAGCUUUAGGCUUUCAGGUGAGAGGGAUAAUCAUCUUUCUUUGGGGCUAAUGGUGAAGAUUAAAUGG